CUCAACCUAUCCAUUCAUCAACAUAAUUUAGCAUCAGAAAAUCCUUAGCAAUCUUCAAUUCAUUCAUUCAGCAUAAUGCCUCCUCCUAAAACUUCAUUGGUUUUCUUAAUCUUUGCCUUGAUGGCUAUUUCUGCACAUUUGCAGAUGGCAUCAGCACUUCAGUUUGAAUGCGCUUCUGGCAAGUCCUUAGGUGUUAAAUUACUCAACGGCGACCAGUGCACUUUGGACAUAGACUGUGUUGAUUUAUGUAAGGAGCAGUGCGAUGUAAACUUUAAGGGCAUUUCCACAGCUUCAGCUUGUAUCCUUGGCCUCCUAGAGGUUCAAGUUAAGAGCUGCUGUUGUUGUUGUGUCACAGUCUAGAGUGUAUGCUACUCCAUGAGUAGCUAAUUUGAUGACCUCGGUCUAGCUGUUGAUGGAUAUUAAGCUUGCUAUCGAGUUGGAAUACUACGUCAAUUCGGAGAAAUGAAAGAAAUUAUAAGCAUUUUAAUUAUUUAAAAAUAAUUAAUCUCAUAUAAUUAAGUGUGGGUGUGUGUGCCGCUAUGUAUAUGUGGCUAUAUACACUUAAUUAGCUGCUUCUGUUUGUUUGUGUUCGUCGUGCAGUAUUGGGUGAUUCUGUCGUUAUUGAUCAGUACUUUGUACAUCUUUUUAUGAGUAUAUGAUUUCGCUUGGUA
This is a long non-coding RNA of Papaver somniferum (opium poppy), 671 nucleotides long. RefSeq lists it as uncharacterized. NCBI's taxonomy places the organism in Eukaryota, Viridiplantae, Streptophyta, Magnoliopsida, Ranunculales, Papaveraceae. The transcript has 2 exons. The record is from RefSeq and is a predicted model, not a curated record.